UGCUGGCAGUGCUGUGGUAGUG
Molecule: microRNA, 22 nt
Filed under: Gallus gallus (chicken)
Lineage: Eukaryota; Metazoa; Chordata; Aves; Galliformes; Phasianidae
Description: gga-miR-6649-3p
Source: miRBase by way of RNAcentral